This 641-nucleotide ribosomal RNA is filed under the name Acinetobacter rhizosphaerae. RNAcentral's name for it is "bacterial SSU rRNA". It matches the Rfam family "Bacterial small subunit ribosomal RNA", at positions 220 to 852 of the family's 1533-position model. The record is from RNAcentral. Lineage: Bacteria; Pseudomonadati; Pseudomonadota; Gammaproteobacteria; Moraxellales; Moraxellaceae.
AAUAGAUGAGCCUAAGUCGGAUUAGCUAGUUGGUGGGGUAAAGGCCUACCAAGGCGACGAUCUGUAGCGGGUCUGAGAGGAUGAUCCGCCACACUGGGACUGAGACACGGCCCAGACUCCUACGGGAGGCAGCAGUGGGGAAUAUUGGACAAUGGGCGCAAGCCUGAUCCAGCCAUGCCGCGUGUGUGAAGAAGGCCUUAUGGUUGUAAAGCACUUUAAGCGAGGAGGAGGCUACUUUAGAUAAUACCUAGAGAUAGUGGACGUUACUCGCAGAAUAAGCACCGGCUAACUCUGUGCCAGCAGCCGCGGUAAUACAGAGGGUGCAAGCGUUAAUCGGAUUUACUGGGCGUAAAGCGCGCGUAGGCGGCUAAUUAAGUCAAAUGUGAAAUCCCCGAGCUUAACUUGGGAAUUGCAUUCGAUACUGGUUAGCUAGAGUGUGGGAGAGGAUGGUAGAAUUCCAGGUGUAGCGGUGAAAUGCGUAGAGAUCUGGAGGAAUACCGAUGGCGAAGGCAGCCAUCUGGCCUAACACUGACGCUGAGGUGCGAAAGCAUGGGGAGCAAACAGGAUUAGAUACCCUGGUAGUCCAUGCCGUAAACGAUGUCUACUAGCCGUUGGGGCCUUUGAGGCUUUAGUGGCGCAGC